This is a long non-coding RNA of Oncorhynchus nerka (sockeye salmon), 1821 nucleotides long. RefSeq lists it as uncharacterized. Lineage: Eukaryota; Metazoa; Chordata; Actinopteri; Salmoniformes; Salmonidae. The transcript is spliced from 4 exons. The record is from RefSeq and is a predicted model, not a curated record.
AACGCCCACUUUCAGACACGCUCAAUGUAUGCAGUUACCCGUGACUCCUAGCAGGCAAACUUGGUGCAUAGGCCACAGCACCACCCGAAUGAUACUGCCAAGCAAACCGUGACUACAUGGUAUUUGGUGAGACGAUCCUAUCAGAUCUUGUCCACCACACCACCAGCGGGAGAGCCUUACCUGGGACAACACAUCAGAAUCCUAGAAUCUCCCCCUUCACUUUUGUAGCAAAGUGGUCCUCCUUUUGACCGAAUCAUCAAAAGAUUCCUUUCGAGUGCUACAGGAGGAUACUCCAGAGACAAUGGCUGAUAUUGAGAGGGACAAUCAACACACAGAUAUACUGCAGGUGCAAAUCAAACAGGAGGACGGAGAAGAGCCUCACGUUACAGAGGACCGUCUCAAGAGUUCUAAUACCGGAGAACAGAAGCCUUGUCACAUCUGCCCUGAUUGUGGUAAAAGUUAUACCCGUUCGGAUAAUCUUAAAACACACCAGAAAAUUCAUAUGACAGAGAGGCCGUACCUCUGCUCUGAGUGUGGUAAAGGUUUUACCCGCACAGAUCAUCUGAAAUCACACCUGAAAACACAUGAAAGAAAGAAGAAGAAACUUAAACACCCCUGUACUGAUUGUGUGAAAGGCUUUGUCCAUUUGGAGCAGCUUGAAAAACAUCUGGAAAAAAAUCACCUUACACACAAGGAAAAGAAACCUCACGGCUGUCCAAGGUGUGAUGAGAGCUUUUCUGACCUGGAAGAACUAACAACACACUUGCCAGUACAUACUGAAGAGCUGGCCCUCUACUGCUCUGACUGCGGCUCAACUCUCAACGAUGAUACAGUUGUCUCGUCUCCAUACCACUACUAGGGCCACGUCUCCUGCCAGGCCAAACUCCCUGCAAUGCAUCUCAUCCAUGAAUGAUCCUGGCUGCCCGAUACCAGCCAAUACUGAGCGACGAUCCUCCAUGAUUCCAUCCGCCAUUCCAGAUUAAAAUGCAAACGCGGUUCCGCAGGCGGAACGUCAUGUCUCCGGUACGCUGGCGGUGUGUGUGAUGGCCAGAGCGACACUGAUUGUGUGGGUCUCAUCUGCCAUGAUGACCUGCACAGAGGAGGGAGUGUUUCUCUCUCACACACUCUCUCUCUCCCUGAAGUGUAUAUAGGAGUGGCUGUGGAGGAAGCAGGCGUGUUGUGUGCAGGUGGUGCUCUUGCCAGAACCACUCUACUGGAGCUCCACUUGGGUCAAAGUACCCUGAGAACCACGUAGAACAGCCUAGAACUGGACAGAAACACCUAGAACUGGACCCAACCUCUCACAACUGCGUAUAGUUGGAUAGAACUGCCUAGACAGAACUACACCGAACCUGGAAGAACUGCAGAAAAACACUCAGAACUGCCUAGCGUUGUAAUGAACCUUGCAGAACUGCUUAGAUACGGACAUCACUUAUUUUUAUUUAUUUUAUUUUAUUUUACCUUUAUUUAACUAGGCAAGUCCGUUAAGAACAAAUUCUUAUUUUCAAUGACGGCCUAGGAACAGUGGGUUAACUGCCUGUUCUGAAUCUAGAGUGCUGUGCUGAGAGAGACCUCUGUAAUUCCCCCAAAUCCCAAUAAUCCAGUAUCUUUUAAAAUAGUUUGUGUGGUAGUGUAUGAGUGAAAUGUAUGGAUGUUUUUCCAAAGGUUUUACUUAUAAGAAUCGAUUCAACGUGUUUAUUUCAAGAUGUUGUUUGUUUAGUCAAAUAAGGGCAUUUACAUUUUUACAUUGUAUCCCAUCUACAUCUUUGUUUUCCCCUAGUCAUUGAAUAAAAUACUUGGUUGUUCUAAUUGUAAAAUGUA